GACGAACGCUGGCGGCAUGCCUAAUACAUGCAAGUCGAGCGAACAGAUGAAGUGCUUGCACUUCUGACGUUAGCGGCGAACGGGUGAGUAACACGUAAGGAAUCUACCUAUAAGCGGGGGAUAACAUUCGGAAGCGGGUGCUAAUACCGCAUAAUAUCUUCUUCCGCAUGGAAGAAGAUUGCAAGACGGCUCUGCUGUCACUUAUAGAUGACCUUGCGGUGCAUUAGUUAGUUGGUGGGGUAACGGCCUACCAAGACGAUGAUGCAUAGCCGACGUGACAAGAUGAUCGACCACAUUGCAACGGAGACACGGCCGAAACUCCUACGGGAGGCAGAAGUAGGCAAUCUUCCGCAAUGAGCGAAAGCCUGACGGAGCAAUGCCGCGUGAGUGCAGAAGCCCUUCGGGUCGUAAAACUCUGUUAUAAGAGAAGAACAAAUUGUAGAGUAACUGCUACAGUCUUGACGGUAUCUUAUCAGAAAGCCACGGCUAACUACGUGCCAGCACCCGCGGUAA
RNAcentral lists this ribosomal RNA (513 nucleotides) under uncultured bacterium. Its description in RNAcentral is "partial 16S ribosomal RNA". It matches the Rfam family "Bacterial small subunit ribosomal RNA", at positions 28 to 523 of the family's 1533-position model. The record is from RNAcentral.